This 330-nucleotide ribosomal RNA is filed under the name uncultured Acholeplasma sp. RNAcentral describes it as "bacterial SSU rRNA". It matches the Rfam family "Bacterial small subunit ribosomal RNA", at positions 1051 to 1382 of the family's 1533-position model. Lineage: Bacteria; Bacillati; Mycoplasmatota; Mollicutes; Acholeplasmatales; Acholeplasmataceae. The record is from RNAcentral.
GUCGUCAGCUCGUGUCGUGAGAUGUUGGGUUAAGUCCCGCAACGAGCGCAACCCCUAUUGCUAGUUACCAUCAUUAAGUUGGGGACUCGUAGCGAGACUGCCAGUGAUAACUGGAGGAAGGUGGGGAUGACGUCAAAUCAUCAUGCCCCUUAUGACCUGGGCUACAAACGUGAUACAAUGGCUGGAACAAAGGGAUGCGAAGCAGUGAUGUGGAGCGAAACCCAUAAAAACAGUCUCAGUUCGGAUUGAAGUCUGCAACUCGACUUCAUGAAGUCGGAAUCGCUAGUAAUCGCGGAUCAGAACGCCGCGGUGAAUACGUUCUCGGGGUUU